CGCCCGCUCAGAAACUCAAAGGAAGUUGACGGGGGCCCGGCACAAGCGGUGGAGCAUGUGGUUUAAUUCGAUGAUACGCGAGGAACCUUACCUGGGCUCAAAUGUAUGUUGACGUAUUCUGAAAGGGAUACUUCUUCGGACAAUAUACAAGGUGCUGCAUGGUUGUCGUCAGCUCGUGCCGUGAGGUGUCGGGUUAAGUCCCAUAACGAGCGCAACCCCUAUCAUUAGUUGCCAUCAGGUCAAGCUGGGGACUCUAAUGAAACUGCCUACGCAAGUAGUGAGGAAGGUGGGGAUGACGUCAAAUCAGCACGGCCCUUACGUCCAGGGCUACACACGUGCUACAAUGGCCGAUACAGAGGGCAGCUACCUGGUGACAGGAUGCAAAUCUCCAAAGUCGGUCUCAGUUCGGAUCGGAGUCUGCAACCCGACUCCGUGAAGUUGGAUUCGCUAGUAAUCGCGCAUCAGCCAUGGCGCGGUGAAUACGUUCCCGGGCCUU
RNAcentral lists this ribosomal RNA (496 nucleotides) under uncultured Sphingobacteriales bacterium. Its description in RNAcentral is "bacterial SSU rRNA". It matches the Rfam family "Bacterial small subunit ribosomal RNA", at positions 887 to 1382 of the family's 1533-position model. The record is from RNAcentral. Lineage: Bacteria; Pseudomonadati; Bacteroidota; Sphingobacteriia; Sphingobacteriales.